GAUGAACGCUGGCGGCGUGCCUAAUACAUGCAAGUCGAGCGAACAGACGAGGAGCUUGCUCCUCUGACGUUAGCGGCGGACGGGUGAGUAACACGUGGAUAACCUACCUAUAAGACUGGGAUAACUUCGGGAAAUCGGAGCUAAUACCGGAUAAUAUAUUGAACCGCAUGGUUCAAUAGUGAAAGACGGUUUUGCUGUCACUUAUAGAUGGAUCCGCGCCGCAUUAGCUAGUUGGUAAGGUAACGGCUUACCAAGGCAAAGAUGCGUAGCCGACCUGAGAGGGUGAUCGGCCACACUGGAACUGAGACACGGUCCAGACUCCUACGGGAGGCAGCAGUAGGGAAUCUUCCGCAAUGGGCGAAAGCCUGACGGGGCAACGCCGCGUGAGUGAUGAAGGUCUUCGGAUCGUAAAACUCUGUUAUUAGGGAAGAACAAAUGUGUAAGUAACUAUGCACGUCUUGACGGUACCUAAUCAGAAAGCCACGGCUAACUACGUG
RNAcentral lists this ribosomal RNA (497 nucleotides) under uncultured bacterium. Its description in RNAcentral is "partial 16S ribosomal RNA". It matches the Rfam family "Bacterial small subunit ribosomal RNA", at positions 28 to 507 of the family's 1533-position model. The record is from RNAcentral.